UCAAAGGUUUUUUUUUCUCAAGGGCAAUUUGUGGUCUUUAAAACCACUAAAAAAACCAGAAAUGUUAUCU
Molecule: non-coding RNA, 70 nt
Organism: Aedes aegypti (yellow fever mosquito)
Lineage: Eukaryota; Metazoa; Arthropoda; Insecta; Diptera; Culicidae
Source: Rfam